AUGUCGCUCUCCACUCUCAACCACCCCGCCGCCGCCGCCGCCGCCGGGCGGGGGAGGUCCUUCUCCCCGGCCGCCCCGGCGCCGUCGACGGUGCGCCUGCCCAGGAGACGGGCCCCCGCCCCCACCGCCGCGUCCGCGCUCGCGGUGGAGGCGGACGCCGCCGCCGACAGGGUCUCGGCGCUGAGCCAGGUCUCCGGCGUGCUGGGGUCGCAGUGGGGCGACGAGGGGAAGGGGAAGCUCGUCGACGUGCUCGCCCCCCGCUUCGACAUCGUCGCGCGUUGCCAGGGUGGAGCAAAUGCUGGACACACCAUCUACAACUCUGAAGGCAAGAAAUUUGCCCUUCAUCUUGUUCCAUCUGGCAUUCUCCAUGAAGGAACACUGUGUGUUGUUGGCAACGGAGCGGUGAUCCAUGUUCCAGGGUUCUUUGGCGAAAUUGAUGGUCUUCAAUCCAAUGGAGUCAGUUGUGAUGGAAGAAUACUGGUGUCUGACCGGGCUCAUUUGCUCUUUGAUCUGCAUCAGACUGUAGAUGGACUUAGGGAAGCCGAGCUUGCAAAUUCCUUCAUAGGAACGACUAAGAGAGGAAUUGGACCUUGUUAUUCCAGCAAGGUCACUCGAAAUGGGCUGCGAGUUUGUGAUCUAAGGCACAUGGACACUUUUGGGGAUAAGCUUGAUGUUUUAUUUGAAGAUGCUGCUGCGAGGUUUGAAGGCUUCAAGUACAGCAAAGGCAUGCUCAAGGAAGAGGUUGAGAGGUACAAGAGGUUUGCAGAGCGUUUGGAGCCCUUUAUCGCUGACACUGUUCAUGUGUUGAAUGAAUCCAUCCGACAGAAGAAGAAAAUUCUGGUUGAAGGUGGUCAGGCAACUAUGCUGGAUAUCGAUUUUGGAACUUAUCCAUUUGUGACUUCUUCUAGCCCUUCCGCUGGUGGAAUUUGCACCGGCCUUGGGAUUGCCCCUAGGGUUAUUGGUGACCUGAUUGGAGUUGUAAAAGCUUACACAACAAGGGUUGGCUCUGGCCCUUUCCCAACUGAACUACUUGGAGAGGAAGGUGAUGUUCUUAGGAAGGCUGGAAUGGAAUUUGGAACGACUACAGGUCGCCCAAGACGUUGUGGCUGGCUUGACAUCGUUGCACUGAAAUACUGCUGUGACAUCAAUGGGUUUUCCUCUCUAAAUCUAACAAAACUUGAUGUUCUGUCCGGGUUACCAGAAAUUAAGCUGGGUGUUUCUUAUAAUCAAAUGGAUGGAGAGAAACUACAAUCCUUCCCAGGGGAUCUUGACACCCUGGAGCAAGUACAGGUAAACUAUGAGGUGCUUCCUGGGUGGGACAGCGACAUCUCUUCUGUCCGAAGUUACAGCGAACUCCCCCAAGCUGCCCGCCGUUACGUGGAGAGGAUAGAAGAGCUCGUCGGUGUUCCAGUCCACUACAUUGGUGUCGGGCCUGGGAGGGAUGCUCUGAUAUACAAGUGA
Molecule: ribosomal RNA, 1461 nt
Filed under: Triticum aestivum (bread wheat)
Lineage: Eukaryota; Viridiplantae; Streptophyta; Magnoliopsida; Poales; Poaceae
Description: partial small subunit ribosomal RNA
Source: RNAcentral